CAUUUACGUCUGCUCGGCGCGCUCAACAUCCAUUCGUAGGCACUUUGGUAUCUUUAAGUUCACUUCGUAGAUCUGGGCCAAUUCCAGGGAACACCGGAAUGGCGCCGUUUUCCAGGAACAUUGUGACCGAGUGAGCUUGGGGUCAAGAGAUAGAAACAAAGAUGGCGGAAGACAUGUGGAACUUUGAGCAUAAUGCACUAAUAUUACAGGCUUUUUCUCGGGGCUAUUCGGUGAAAGAAUGUUAGCUUCUUGUUGACAAAUGACCGAACCCUUGAAGAUUGGUGCUUCACAGUGGAAGGACAUUCAGCGGGAAAGACAUUCAGGUAAAACCAGGCCAGAGUAUUGAGGCGCAAUCUAAACGGAGUCAGAGACACUAAAUGCAGCAAGUACAGAAUUAACUUGGUUGAUCUGAAGAGACGUGAACAAUGAUUUUGUGACGAGGGAACCAACCUGUUUGACCGAAAAAGGGAACUACGCCAACUACAGGCCAAGGUUGGAGGAAUCAGAUAAGGUGGAGAGUUGUUCAGGAAAGUUAGAGCUACAGGUAUAGAGAUGAUGAACACCAAUGACCAUACUAAGAUUAAAGCAAGAUAACAACGGACGAAUGGCAAUACAGAAAGGGAUAGCAAAAUGAACAUGUGGUACUAUACUGCGGGAGCUGAAAGAGAACAGACCAGGACAUUAACAAAUUAAACAAACAGAAGGUGUAAGACAAGACUAAGGACAGGCUGAUGUGAUCAAAUGAGGCACACACUGGUCAAGCCAGAUGAAAUGCAGUUGACAUGCAAAAUUGUUUAACAAAAAAGGCAUGGAUCUAUUUCCACACCAGCAACAGACCAAGCAAUUUAGACUGGACCAAAUGGAGGAUUAAGCUCCCACUCUACACCGGCUUGGCAAGUUGCUAGAGACAUAGAGUAAGGAUCAAGGACCAUGGACCCAGGAUAUAGGACCCAGGAUCCAGGACAGAGGACCAAGAAGCAGGGAAGACUGAGGGCUGCAGAUCAAGGACAGUGGAUGGAAAGCAAGCCUUGGAUGAAGAACUUUCAUAAGUUGAAUUAUAGAUAUGUUAAGGUAUAUGAGAUGCUAUGGGUAGCAGAGAGAUGGCACAGUGGGAGAGCUGGGCUCGCCUCUCACUAAUGUGCCAUAUGUGAGUUUUUUGUUGGUUCUCACCUUGUCCCGAGGGUUUUUCUCCGGGUACUCCGGUUUCCCUCAUUCUUGAAAAACCAACAUUUCCAAAUUCCAAUUCAAAUUGGCUCGCUCUUUAAAAAUCAUUGUUGACAAGUGUUUAACGGUCCUCCAUAUUGCUUGGGCCAAUUGAGGCAAUCAUGGUAAACAUUUGUUUGCAGUGUUAUAUUAAUACUCGCUGUUUAUUUCCUAGCUACAUGUGCACUAAAUACUACAGGUUUCAUAGUCUCCUUUGCGGCUGUUAUGUUAGUUGAGAACGAAAUUGGAAAACAAGCUUUUUUAUUUGCUAUUUUUUAUCGUCAUCGUUUUUUAACGUAGGUAAAAGAGAAUUUUCCACAUCCAAUCAAUCAAUCAAUCAAUGAUUCAUUCAUUCAUUCAUUC
RNAcentral lists this long non-coding RNA (1566 nucleotides) under Orbicella faveolata. RNAcentral's name for it is "uncharacterized LOC110056104". The record is from RNAcentral. Lineage: Eukaryota; Metazoa; Cnidaria; Anthozoa; Scleractinia; Merulinidae.